This 586-nucleotide ribosomal RNA is filed under the name uncultured bacterium. RNAcentral describes it as "partial 16S ribosomal RNA". It matches the Rfam family "Bacterial small subunit ribosomal RNA", at positions 355 to 1376 of the family's 1533-position model. The record is from RNAcentral.
UGGGGAAUUUUGGACAAUGGGCGAAAGCCUGAUCCAGCAAUGCCGCGUGUGUGAAGAAGGCCUUCGAGUUGUAAAGCACUUUUGUCCGGAAAGAAAUCCUUGGCUCUAAUACAGUCGGGGGAUGACGGUACCGGAAGAAUAAGCACCGGCUAACUACGUGCCAGCAGCCGCGGUAAUACGUAGGGUGCAAGCGUUAAUCGGAAUUACUGGGCGUAAAGCGUGCGCAGGCGGUUUGCUAAGACCGAUGUGAAAUCCCCGGGCUCAACCUGGGAACUGCAUUGGUGACUGGCAGGCUAGAGUAUGGCAGAGGGGGGUAGAAUUCCACGUGUAGCAGUGAAAUGCGUAGAGAUGUGGAGGAAUACCGAUGGCGAAGGCAGCCCCCUGGGCCAAUACUGACGCUCAUGCACGAAAGCGUGGGGAGCAAACAGGAUUAGAUACCCUGGUAGUCCACGCCCUAAACGAUGUCAACUAGUUGUUAGGGAUUCAUUUCCUUAGUAACGUAGCUAACGCGUGAAGUUGACCGCCUGGGGAGUACGGUCGCAAGAUUAAAACUCAAAUGAAUUGACGGGGUCAUAGCUGUUUCCUG